MicroRNA precursor from Anolis carolinensis (green anole), 80 nucleotides. Lineage: Eukaryota; Metazoa; Chordata; Lepidosauria; Squamata; Anolidae. The record is from Ensembl.
UGAAAUAAAGUGACAUGGACAAUUUUGGUUUUGAUGUUUAAUGAGUAUCAAAACUAGGAUUGUCUAUGCCAUUGUGUUUC